GAUGAACGCUAGCUACAGGCUUAACACAUGCAAGUCGAGGGGUAGCAGGAUCUAGCAAUAGAUUGCUGACGACCGGCGCACGGGUGAGUAACACGUAUCCAACCUGCCUCAUACUCUGGGAUAGCCUUUCGAAAGAAAGAUUAAUACUAGAUAGUAUAAUUUCAUCGCAUGAUGAAAUUAUUAAAGAAUUUCGGUAUGAGAUGGGGAUGCGUUCCAUUAGAUAGUUGGUGAGGUAACGGCUCACCAAGUCUUCGAUGGAUAGGGGUUCUGAGAGGAAGGUCCCCCACAUUGGAACUGAGACACGGUCCAAACUCCUACGGGAGGCAGCAGUGAGGAAUAUUGGUCAAUGGGCGCGAGCCUGAACCAGCCAAGUAGCGUGAAGGAUGAAGGCUCUAUGGGUCGUAAACUUCUUUUAUAAGGGAAUAAAGUGGAGAACGUGUUCUCCUUUGUAUGUACCUUACGAAUAAGGAUCGGCUAACUCCGUGCCAGCCGCCGCCGUAAUAC
Molecule: ribosomal RNA, 504 nt
Filed under: uncultured bacterium
Lineage: Bacteria
Description: bacterial SSU rRNA
Rfam family: Bacterial small subunit ribosomal RNA
Source: RNAcentral